ACCGUUUUGAAUAAUACCGGGAGUAUAUCGUGUUUGCCUGAUAGGAGCGCUGUGGAGCCUUGUAGCAGUACCAACGAGAUGUUUCUGUGGUAUAACUUUCAUGGAAAUUUCAAGGUUGAUGUGACAGAUUUGAAAAAAUUUAGAAUUAGAAAAUUUGUAUUUUGUUGGAAUUUAAGGCGUUUCAAUAAAAUAUAGAAAAGAAGAAGUAAACUCUAAAUGGGCACAAAAUAUGAUUCAUGACUGAUCGCUGUUACCAUCAAUGCAGAAUAUAAUUUGCGUGACUCUUAUACUCGGAACAGAUUUCGUUUCUGUUUUAUCCUUCGUAUAAAAGGGAGUUAAUAUUAAAGCCACUAACAUCCUGCAAAAACAAACCACCAAAAUCCUACAAAGCGAGAAAUUAAACGAAUUCCUCGAGAAACCACCCUCCAUUCUGCGAUGCUGCUCAACGAUCUGAACAGCCUCCAACUUGGCGGAGCGCAACGGAAGCGGGCAAAGCAUGGAAGAAGCAAGACAGGGUCGAGCGGCAGCCUCUCUACGUGCAGGAACUCUAAAACGAUCUCGCCGGUUCACGCGAGAUAAUAUUAAUCUCCGGUCCCGUGUCGUGCCACGUCCUGUAACACAACGGCAUGCACGAAAGAGGCAAGAGAAUCUGUCGGCGCAGCGGCGCCGGCGGCGGGAAAUAGUGCUCUUGCUCUUAAGGUCGCGGGAUCACGUGCACGUGGCGUGAAGCAUCGCGUGGCUCCGUGGGAUCGCCAACCUUUUUUCCGCUGCAUCGGUGCACGCACGUUUGUUUUCUUCGACCGGUUGCAUCCUCGUGUCAGGCUUAUGCAAGCAGAUCUACCAAGACGAACACGACGUGUUUGAUUCGUGGAUGAUCGUAGAAAAGUCGCGUGGAAACGUGCUAUAACGAAGUUUUAGUUCUCGCUAGUUGUUUCUGAGUUUGAGAUUCGCGAUGAAUGCUGAGAGAAUUUUUAGUGGAUUAGAUGUUAGGUGUUUGAUAUUUUCAUUUAAAUAAAGCGGUGAUAGCGCAGAUUUUUAUAUAAGAGAGUAGAGAUGAAAUAGUGCAACGUUUCUAAAAUUUCUGUGUAGGUGAUUUUUAUUAAAUUUACUAGCCCUACUACGUUUCUUCUGUCAUCUCUCGAUCCAAUUAUAGUUUUCUAAC
This is a long non-coding RNA of Bombus pyrosoma, 1162 nucleotides long. RefSeq lists it as uncharacterized. The transcript is spliced from 3 exons. The record is from RefSeq and is a predicted model, not a curated record. Lineage: Eukaryota; Metazoa; Arthropoda; Insecta; Hymenoptera; Apidae.